Molecule: long non-coding RNA, 277 nt
Filed under: Homo sapiens (human)
Lineage: Eukaryota; Metazoa; Chordata; Mammalia; Primates; Hominidae
Description: non-protein coding lnc-CCDC89-2:1
Source: RNAcentral
AACAAGCCUCAAAUGUAUUUUAGUGCCACCCACUGGCCAUAGGUACAAUUCAGUUGUUGGCUUGUUUUGACUUAAUUCUAAAAUAGGUCUCAAGCCUGUAUUUUUAUGAGUUUAUUUUUUUAAAACCCUGCAUAUAUAUGAUUGUUUUUCUUAUAACUUUACUAUAUGAAAGCAGCAUAAGAGUAGUCACAAACAUGUUUUGCAACAAAGUUUUAAUUAGAAUGUAAGUUGCUCAGUUAUACUGUUCUUCUUAUGUAUGUAAAAUUUUCGUAUUUUG